This 523-nucleotide ribosomal RNA is filed under the name uncultured bacterium. RNAcentral describes it as "bacterial SSU rRNA". It matches the Rfam family "Bacterial small subunit ribosomal RNA", at positions 777 to 1297 of the family's 1533-position model. The record is from RNAcentral.
AAUAGAUACCCUGGUAGUCCACACCGUAAACGAUGAGUGCUAAGUGUUAGAGGGUUUCCGCCCUUUAGUGCUGCAGCUAACGCAUUAAGCACUCCGCCUGGGGAGUACGGUCGCAAGACUGAAACUCAAAGGAAUUGACGGGGGCCCGCACAAGCGGUGGAGCAUGUGGUUUAAUUCGAAGCAACGCGAAGAACCUUACCAGGUCUUGACAUCCUCUGACAACUCUAAAGAUAGAGCGUUCCCCUUCGGGGGACAGAGUGACAGGUGGUGCAUGGUUGUCGUCAGCUCGUGUCGUGAGAUGUUGGGUUAAGUCCCGCAACGAGCGCAACCCUUGAUCUUAGUUGCCAGCAUUUAGUUGGGCACUCUAAGGUGACUGCCGGUGACAAACCGGAGGAAGGUGGGGAUGACGUCAAAUCAUCAUGCCCCUUAUGACCUGGGCUACACACGUGCUACAAUGGAUGGUACAAAGGGCUGCAAGACCGCGAGGUCAAGCCAAUACCCAUAAAACCAUUCUCAGUUCGGA